GAGGAAAGUUGCAACCUGUGUUGGAUCUCUCUCUCUGUCUGGGACUGAGGCACUCUGGCCAGGGAAGACAGGGAGUUGAGAGUCCCAGUCUGUGAGGCCCCAUGUACUUCUGAUCACCCUGUGAGGGCCCCAGAUUAGCCUCUGUCAGUGACCUCUGGGGUUGGCACUGCCUGAAUGGUGACCGAUACGGGAUGGGACCAGCUGGUGCAGAUGCUGUGCUUUUGGUUGGGGACAGAAAAGACAAGGAUUGGACGCAAUAGACUGCGGGAGGUCCAGGAAUGCGAAGGCCGCAUCCACCAGGCCAAGAGGGUGGCGUGAGGCAGCUUCCCAGGGAGUGAGGGGCUUGUGACACCUGUCCAGCCGACUGGUCUGCCCGAUUGGUGGCCGAACGGAAACAGCAUGUGGUGCAGGUCUAGGAGAUGGAGACGAUGAAACAGACCUGGAUGUGAAGCCCACUGAUAAAAGUCUAACAGGUGGUGAGAAGGAUGAGCUCCUAAGCACCUGAAAUAACCAAACAAAUGUAUUUAAUUUCAGUCAAAGUUUUUUUAAUGGCAAUAAAUAAUAGUUCUUGCCACUCCAGAGAAAACUUAAUAUCUGUUUAAUAGGCUCCAUAUAACUUCCACGGCAGAGUAUCUUAUUGAGUUCAAGGCACAGCAUCUAAACCCCCCCCUGGAUAUUUCCACAUGGAGUGAUCAGAAUGGCCAGAAACAGAUAACAAAGUUGUUCAAGAAGGACUGUGCUGCCAUCACCUGGUUAUGAUAUGAACUUGCAGGGCUAGUAACCUGCCCAAAUCAGUCUCUGCAUGUUUAGCAAAGUUAACAUUUUCAAAUGCUAUCUUGUCUUUUUUGCUUUUAGAAAAAUAAAGGACAGGACAUUUACCAAUCUGCCAAUCAUUUAGUUACUGGUUCCCAACAGUAAUGUAUGAAAAACUUCAUGUAAAUAUUUUGUACACUGAAUUUAAUGUUUAUAAAAUAAGCUAUAUUAAUGGAGUUUGCCAUUGAUUUUAAAAGCCAGUACAGCUGAAGAGAUAAAUCAAACACAUAAAUAAAUUCAUUUUUAAAUGGCAGGGAAGACUGACUUCAUAAUUACACAAGUGAGUGUUGGGUGUUUCUACUUUUCAUAAGAGCAUCAACGCUAAACUGAAAGUAAGUGACAGGUGCCAUAAACUGUAGUGCUCUCCUCUCGCCACUUUCAGAUCAUGGGACCAGAGAUCACAUUUCUCCAAAUAUAGCUGCUGGAGCAGGCCUAGCAGGGAAUUCCUUCAUAUCAUUUCAAAUUUUCAAUUCUAAAAGUUGUAUGUCUUAGCUAUUCAAAAGUAUGAUGCAACACAGGUCGAAAUUUAGAACAAUAUUAAUACUGCAAGCAUGUAUUUAGGCUUAUUUAUUUUAGGUUUACUGGUGAUCAAUGUUUUUUCCAAGCAGAAACUAAUCCCUUUCCUGCAUUCAAGACUUUUGGAAGAGUGAAUAGGCCUUAUGUGUGUAUAUAUAUAUAUAUAUAUACACAUACACACACACACACACACACACACACACACACA
Long non-coding RNA from Xyrauchen texanus (razorback sucker), 1537 nucleotides. RefSeq lists it as uncharacterized. The record is from RefSeq and is a predicted model, not a curated record. NCBI's taxonomy places the organism in Eukaryota, Metazoa, Chordata, Actinopteri, Cypriniformes, Catostomidae. The transcript is spliced from 3 exons.